Molecule: ribosomal RNA, 482 nt
Filed under: uncultured bacterium
Lineage: Bacteria
Description: bacterial SSU rRNA
Rfam family: Bacterial small subunit ribosomal RNA
Source: RNAcentral
UCUUGGUUCAGGACGAACGCUGGCGGCGUGCUUAACACAUGCAAGUCGAACGGGAGUAUUGAAGAAGCUUGCUUUAGAGAUACUUUAGUGGCGGACGGGUGAGUAACGCGUGAGGAGCUGUCCUAUGCAGGGGGACAACAGCUGGAAACGGCUGCUAAUACCCCAUAAGCCGAGAGGUAAAAGGAUCAAUCCGGCAGAGGAGGUACUCGCGUCCUAUCAGCUAGUAGGUGAGGUAACGGCUCACCUAGGCGAAGACGGGUAGCCGGCCUGAGAGGGCGAACGGCCACACUGGAACUGAGAUACGGUCCAGACUCCUACGGGAGGCAGCAGUGGGGAAUAUUGGGCAAUGGGGGGAAAAACCCCUGACCCAGCGACGCCGCGUGGGUGAAGAAAUCCUUCGGGAUGUAAAGCCCUGUUGUAUGGGAAGAGCGGAAGACGGUACCAUACGAGGAAGCCCCGGCAAACUACGUGCCAGCAGCCGC